Molecule: transfer RNA, 586 nt
Filed under: Taylorella asinigenitalis
Lineage: Bacteria; Pseudomonadati; Pseudomonadota; Betaproteobacteria; Burkholderiales; Alcaligenaceae
Rfam family: tRNA (bases 161-234)
Source: RNAcentral
UUAAGAGAAAAAGAGAACCAAAAAUUUGGCAUAUUUUGAGUAUCCACGCUUAUCGGUUUUGUAUGAAAAAUUAAGAGAUUAAACAGCUAAAAAGAGGUAUUGGCUUUAUAAAGAGAAAAGGGCCAACAAGAGAUAAAGGCUAAUAAUAAGAAGGAAAGUAGGGUCAGUAGCUCAGUCGGUUAGAGCACCGUCUUGAUAAGGCGGGGGUCGCUGGUUCGAUUCCAGCUUGACCCACCAUAGAGAUGCUCUAUAAAGAAAGAAAGAGAGUAUGAAAAGCAGAAUGUGGGGGAUUAGCUCAGUUGGGAGAGCGCCUGCUUUGCACGCAGGAGGCCGUCGGUUCGAUCCCGUCAUCCUCCACCACCCUAGAUAUUCUCUAAGCCGCUUUUGUGUAUGUGUAUGGAUUUUAGGGUAUUUUAUUAAUAGCUCUUUUUUAAAAAGAAAGAGUGAAUUAAUAAAGUAUCUUUUUUUAAAAAAGCAAUAAGUAAAAAAUAUAAAGAGAGAUUACUUUAGGCUGUUCUUUAACAAUUUGGAAGAAGCACAACAAGUAAAACAACAAAAGAAUGGUUGUGUGAGUACGUAUAAGCUU